CAGAGUUGCAAAACUCCCUAAACCAUCGUGAACGUUACCUAUACCGUUGCUUCGGGGGGCGACCCUGCCGUUUCGACGGCGAGCGCCCCCGGAGACCAUCAAACACUGCAUCUUUGCGUCGGAGCUUAAGUAAAUUAAACA
This 141-nucleotide unclassified non-coding RNA is filed under the name soil metagenome. Its description in RNAcentral is "partial internal transcribed spacer 1". The record is from RNAcentral.